GGCUAGUCCGAGUGUAGUGGUGUUUACAGUCGAUCACAGACAGUUACAGAUAUCUUUGCUCCUUCUCUACUCCCACUGCUUCACUUGAGUAGCCUAAA
RNAcentral lists this Y RNA (98 nucleotides) under Tursiops truncatus (common bottlenose dolphin). RNAcentral's name for it is "Y RNA (ENSTTRG00000024208.1)". It matches the Rfam family "Y RNA". From Rfam's summary of the family: Y RNAs are components of the Ro ribonucleoprotein particle (Ro RNP), in association with Ro60 and La proteins. The record is from Rfam by way of RNAcentral. Lineage: Eukaryota; Metazoa; Chordata; Mammalia; Artiodactyla; Delphinidae.